Molecule: long non-coding RNA, 201 nt
Filed under: Hordeum vulgare
Lineage: Eukaryota; Viridiplantae; Streptophyta; Magnoliopsida; Poales; Poaceae
Description: long non-coding RNA (HVUL_LNC013987)
Source: RNAcentral
UUAACAUUUUCCUUUUUGAAAUAAUUUGACACUCUCAUCACCACAUAUAUAGUGUACUAAACUAGUUCUAUAAAUAUAUUGAAAUGAAUAGAACAACAAAAUAGUGGAAGAUCUAUAUAUAUACAAGGGAAGUCAUACUUCACAUAAGAGAGACAGUUGGGCAGCCUUCAAUUCUUUGGUUGGUCGAAACACAUAAGUUGC